Molecule: ribosomal RNA, 253 nt
Filed under: uncultured bacterium
Lineage: Bacteria
Description: partial 16S ribosomal RNA
Rfam family: Bacterial small subunit ribosomal RNA
Source: RNAcentral
UACGAAGGGGGCUAGCGUUGUUCGGAAUUACUGGGCGUAAAGGGCGCGUAGGCGGUGUGUCAAGUCAGGCGUGAAAGCCCCGGGCUCAACCUGGGAACAGCGCUUGAGACUGGCACGCUCGAGUUCGGGAGAGGAUGGUGGAAUUCUCGGUGUAGAGGUGAAAUUCGUAGAUAUUAGGAAGAACACCAGUGGCGAAGGCGGCUCACUGGUCCGGUACUGACGCUGAGGUGCGAAAGCGUGGGGAGCAAACAGG